RNAcentral lists this ribosomal RNA (207 nucleotides) under uncultured bacterium. Its description in RNAcentral is "partial 16S ribosomal RNA". It matches the Rfam family "Bacterial small subunit ribosomal RNA", at positions 524 to 727 of the family's 1533-position model. The record is from RNAcentral.
UACGGAGGGUGCAAGCGUUGUCCGGAAUCACUGGGCGUAAAGGGCGCGUAGGCGGCUCAUGAAGGCUGUGGUGAAAGUCCGGGGCUCAACCCUCGGAUCGGCCGUGGCGACUCGUGGGCUGGAGCACUGUAGAGGCGGGUGGAAUUCCGGGGUGUAGGUGGUGAAAUGCGUAGAGAUCGGGAGGAACACCUGUGGCGAAGGCGGCCC